AGAACGAACGCUGGCGGCGUGGAUAAGACAUGCAAGUCGAACGCGACUUAUCGUGUUAGCAAUAACAUGGUAAGUUGAGUGGCGAAAGGGUGCGUAACACGUGGGAAAUUACCAAGAAGUGGGGAAUAGCUCGACGAAAGUCGAAUUAAUACCGCAUACGAUCGCAAGAUCAAAGCCGGGGACCGCAAGGCCUGGCGCUUUUUGAGAAGCCCCGCGGCCCAUCAGCUAGUUGGCGAGGUAAUGGCUCACCAAGGCUAUGACGGGUAGCUGGUCUGAGAGGACGACCAGCCACACUGGAACUGAGACACGGUCCAGACACCUACGGGUGGCAGCAGUCGAGAAUUUUUCACAAUGGGGGAAACCCUGAUGGAGCGACGCCGCGUGGAGGAUGAAGGUUCUUGGAUUGUAAACUCCUGUCACUGCAGAACAAGGAUACGCCAGUUAACAGCCGGCGUA
RNAcentral lists this ribosomal RNA (456 nucleotides) under uncultured bacterium. RNAcentral describes it as "SSU rRNA". It matches the Rfam family "Bacterial small subunit ribosomal RNA", at positions 26 to 477 of the family's 1533-position model. The record is from RNAcentral.